RNAcentral lists this ribosomal RNA (515 nucleotides) under uncultured bacterium. RNAcentral's name for it is "partial 16S ribosomal RNA". It matches the Rfam family "Bacterial small subunit ribosomal RNA", at positions 28 to 523 of the family's 1533-position model. The record is from RNAcentral.
GAUGAACGCUGGCGGCGUGCCUAAUACAUGCAAGUCGAGCGAAUGGAUUAAGAGCUUGCUCUUAUGAAGUUAGCGGCGGACGGGUGAGUAACACGUGGGUAACCUGCCCAUAAGACUGGGAUAACUCCGGGAAACCGGGGCUAAUACCGGAUAACAUUUUGAACCGCAUGGUUCGAAAUUGAAAGGCGGCUUCGGCUGUCACUUAUGGAUGGACCCGCGUCGCAUUAGCUAGUUGGUGAGGUAACGGCUCACCAAGGCAACGACGCGUAGCCGACCUGAGAGGGUGAUCGGCCACACUGGGACUGAGACACGGCCCAGACUCCUACGGGAGGCAGCAGUAGGGAAUCUUCCGCAAUGGACGAAAGUCUGACGGAGCAACGCCGCGUGAGUGAUGAAGGCUUUCGGGUCGUAAAACUCUGUUGUUAGGGAAGAACAAGUGCUAGUUGAAUAAGCUGGCACCUUGGCGGUACCUAACCAGAAAGCCACGGCUAACUACGUGCCAGCAGCCGCCGCUG